RNAcentral lists this ribosomal RNA (254 nucleotides) under uncultured bacterium. RNAcentral describes it as "partial 16S ribosomal RNA". It matches the Rfam family "Archaeal small subunit ribosomal RNA", at positions 474 to 727 of the family's 1478-position model. The record is from RNAcentral.
UACCAGCACCCCGAGUGGUCGGGACGUUUAUUGGGCCUAAAAGCAUCCGUAGCCGGUUCUACAAGUCUUCCGUUAAAUCCAACUGCUUAACAGGUGGGCUGCGGAAGAUACUAUAGAGCUAGGAGGCGGGAGAGGCAAGCGGUACUCGAUGGGUAGGGGUAAAAUCCGUUGAUCCAUUGAAGACCACCAGUGGCGAAGGCGGCUUGCCAGAACGCGCUCGACGGUGAGGGAUGAAAGCUGGGGGAGCAAACCGG